GACGAACGCUGGCGGCGUGCUUAACACAUGCAAGUCGAACGGAAAGGCCUUUUUCGGGGGGUGCUCGAGUGGCGAACGGGUGAGUAACACGUGAGUAACCUGCUCUUGACUUUGGGAUACCUUCAGAAAACUGGGGUUAUUACCCGUUAGUAGCUCCUGCUGCAUGGUGGGGGUUUGAAAGUUUCGGCUGUUGGGGAUGGCCUGGCGGCUUAUACGCUUUUUGGUGGGGUAGUGGUUUACCAAGGCUUUGCCGGGUAGCCGGCCUGAGGGGGUGAGCGGCGACACUGGGACUGAGAGACGGCCCAGACUCCGACGGGAGGAAGCAGGGGGGAAUAUUGCACAAUGGGUGGAAGCCUGAUGCAGCAACGCCGUGGGCGGGAUGACGGCCUUAGGGUUGUAAAACGCUUUCGAGCAUGAAGAAGCUUUGUGUGACGGUAGUAGGUAAAGAAGCACCGGCUAACUACGUG
RNAcentral lists this ribosomal RNA (467 nucleotides) under uncultured bacterium. RNAcentral's name for it is "partial 16S ribosomal RNA". It matches the Rfam family "Bacterial small subunit ribosomal RNA", at positions 28 to 507 of the family's 1533-position model. The record is from RNAcentral.